This 372-nucleotide ribosomal RNA is filed under the name uncultured Rikenellaceae bacterium. Its description in RNAcentral is "bacterial SSU rRNA". It matches the Rfam family "Bacterial small subunit ribosomal RNA", at positions 1010 to 1382 of the family's 1533-position model. The record is from RNAcentral. Lineage: Bacteria; Pseudomonadati; Bacteroidota; Bacteroidia; Bacteroidales; Rikenellaceae.
UCUGCGCCAGCGAUGGCCGGUUGCGAGGUGCUGCAUGGUUGUCGUCAGCUCGUGCCGUGAGGUGUCGGGUUAAGUCCCAUAACGAGCGCAACCCCUACUGCUAGUUGCCAGCGGGUCAUGCCGGGGACUCUAGCGGAACUGCCAGCGUAAGCUGCGAGGAAGGUGGGGAUGACGUCAAAUCAGCACGGCCCUUACGUCCAGGGCUACACACGUGUUACAAUGGCCAGUACAGAGGGCAGCCACCCCGCGAGGGGGCGCUAAUCCUAAAAGCUGGUCCCAGUUCGGAUCGGAGUCUGCAACCCGACUCCGUGAAGCUGGAUUCGCUAGUAAUCGCGCAUCAGCCACGGCGCGGUGAAUACGUUCCCGGGCCUU